AGAUCGAUGGCUGAACAAGUUAGA
This 24-nucleotide microRNA is filed under the name Gossypium hirsutum (cotton). Its description in RNAcentral is "ghr-miR7503". Lineage: Eukaryota; Viridiplantae; Streptophyta; Magnoliopsida; Malvales; Malvaceae. The record is from miRBase by way of RNAcentral.